GAUGAACGCUGGCGGCGUGCCUAAUACAUGCAAGUCGAACGAACAGAUGACUAUCUUGCUCCUCUGACGUUAGCGGCGGACGGGUGAGUAACACGUGUAUAACCUACCUAUCUGACUGGGAUAACUUCGGGAAACCGGAUCUAAUACCGGAUAAUAUAUUGAACCGCAUGGUUCUAUAGUGAUUUACGGUUUUGCUGUCACUUAUAGACUUAUCCGCGCCUCAUUAGCGAGUUGGUUAGGUAACGGUUUACCAGGGCAACGAUGCGUUGGCGACCUGAGAGGGUGGUCGGCGACACUGGAGGGGAGACGCGGUCCAUGGUCCUACGGGAGGCAGCAGUAGCGAAUGUUCCGCAAUGGGCGGAAGCCUGACAGAGCGGCGCCGCGUGGGUGAUGAAGGUCUUCGGAUCGUAAAACUCUCUUAUUAGGGAAAAACAAAUGUGUAAGUAACUAUGCACGUCUUGACGGUACCUGGUCAGAAAGCACCGGCUAACUACGUG
RNAcentral lists this ribosomal RNA (497 nucleotides) under uncultured bacterium. RNAcentral describes it as "partial 16S ribosomal RNA". It matches the Rfam family "Bacterial small subunit ribosomal RNA", at positions 28 to 507 of the family's 1533-position model. The record is from RNAcentral.